RNAcentral lists this ribosomal RNA (908 nucleotides) under uncultured bacterium. Its description in RNAcentral is "bacterial SSU rRNA". It matches the Rfam family "Bacterial small subunit ribosomal RNA", at positions 71 to 979 of the family's 1533-position model. The record is from RNAcentral.
CUUAGCUUGCUAAGGCCGAUGGCGACCGGCGCACGGGUGAGUAACACGUAUCCAACCUGCCGUCUACUCUUGGACAGCCUUCUGAAAGGAAGAUUAAUACAAGAUGGCAUCAUGAGUUCACAUGUUCACAUGAUUAAAGGUAUUCCGGUAGACGAUGGGGAUGCGUUCCAUUAGAUAGUAGGCGGGGUAACGGCCCACCUAGUCUUCGAUGGAUAGGGGUUCUGAGAGGAAGGUCCCCCACAUUGGAACUGAGACACGGUCCAAACUCCUACGGGAGGCAGCAGUGAGGAAUAUUGGUCAAUGGGCGAGAGCCUGAACCAGCCAAGUAGCGUGAAGGAUGACUGCCCUAUGGGUUGUAAACUUCUUUUAUAAAGGAAUAAAGUCGGGUAUGCAUACCCGUUUGCAUGUACUUUAUGAAUAAGGAUCGGCUAACUCCGUGCCAGCAGCCGCGGUAAUACGGAGGAUCCGAGCGUUAUCCGGAUUUAUUGGGUUUAAAGGGAGCGUAGAUGGAUGUUUAAGUCAGUUGUGAAAGUUUGCGGCUCAACCGUAAAAUUGCAGUUGAUACUGGAUAUCUUGAGUGCAGUUGAGGCAGGCGGAAUUCGUGGUGUAGCGGUGAAAUGCUUAGAUAUCACGAAGAACUCCGAUUGCGAAGGCAGCCUGCUAAGCUGCAACUGACAUUGAGGCUCGAAAGUGUGGGUAUCAAACAGGAUUAGAUACCCUGGUAGUCCACACGGUAAACGAUGAAUACUCGCUGUUUGCGAUAUACAGCAAGCGGCCAAGCGAAAGCGUUAAGUAUUCCACCUGGGGAGUACGCCGGCAACGGUGAAACUCAAAGGAAUUGACGGGGGCCCGCACAAGCGGAGGAACAUGUGGUUUAAUUCGAUGAUACGCGAGGAACCUUACCCGGG